GCUGGGUGGAUUAGUGGCGAACGGGUGAGUAACACGUGAGUAACCUGCCCUUAACUCUGGGAUAAGCCUGGGAAACUGGGUCUAAUACCGGAUAGGAGCGUCCACCGCAUGGUGGGUGUUGGAAAGAUUUAUCGGUUUUGGAUGGACUCGCGGCCUAUCAGCUUGUUGGUGAGGUAAUGGCUCACCAAGGCGACGACGGGUAGCCGGCCUGAGAGGGUGACCGGCCACACUGGGACUGAGACACGGCCCAGACUCCUACGGGAGGCAGCAGUGGGGAAUAUUGCACAAUGGGCGCAAGCCUGAUGCAGCGACGCCGCGUGAGGGAUGACGGCCUUCGGGUUGUAAACCUCUUUCAGUAGGGAAGAAGCGAAAGUGACGGUACCUGCAGAAGAAGCACCGGCUAACUACGUGCCAGCAGCCGCGGUAAUACGUAGGGUGCGAGCGUUAUCCGGAAUUAUUGGGCGUAAAGAGCUCGUAGGCGGUUUGCCGCGUCUGUCGUGAAAGUCCGGGGCUUAACCCCGGAUCUGCGGUGGGUACGGGCAGACUAGAGUGCAGUAGGGGAGACUGGAAUUCCUGGUGUAGCGGUGGAAUGCGCAGAUAUCAGGAGGAACACCGAUGGCGAAGGCAGGUCUCUGGGCUGUAACUGACGCUGAGGAGCGAAAGCAUGGGGAGCGAACAGGAUUAGAUACCCUGGUAGUCCAUGCCGUAAACGUUGGGCACUAGGUGUGGGGACCAUUCCACGGUUUCCGCGCCGCAGCUAACGCAUUAAGUGCCCCGCCUGGGGAGUACGGCCGCAAGGCUAAAACUCAAAGGAAUUGACGGGGGCCCGCACAAGCGGCGGAACAUGCGGAUUAAUUCGAUGCAACGCGAAAAACCUUACAAAGGCUGGAAAUGUUCUCCACCCCCGUAAAAAAACCGGUUCCCCCUUUGGGGCGGUUCCCCAGGUGGUUCCAAGGUUGUCUUCA
This 965-nucleotide ribosomal RNA is filed under the name Micrococcus luteus. RNAcentral describes it as "bacterial SSU rRNA". It matches the Rfam family "Bacterial small subunit ribosomal RNA", at positions 82 to 1057 of the family's 1533-position model. Lineage: Bacteria; Bacillati; Actinomycetota; Actinomycetes; Micrococcales; Micrococcaceae. The record is from RNAcentral.